RNAcentral lists this ribosomal RNA (253 nucleotides) under uncultured bacterium. RNAcentral's name for it is "partial 16S ribosomal RNA". It matches the Rfam family "Bacterial small subunit ribosomal RNA", at positions 524 to 776 of the family's 1533-position model. The record is from RNAcentral.
UACGGGGGGAGCAAGCGUUGUUCGGAUUUACUGGGCGUAAAGGGCGCGUAGGCGGCGCAACAAGUCAGUUGUGAAAUCUCCGGGCUUAACUCGGAACGGUCAAGUGAUACUGUUGUGCUAGAGUGCGGAAGGGGCAACUGGAAUUCUCGGUGUAGCGGUGAAAUGCGUAGAUAUCGAGAGGAACACCUGCGGCGAAGGCGGGUUGCUGGGCCGACACUGACGCUGAUGCGCGAAAGCCAGGGGAGCGAACGGG